GACGAACGCUGGCGGCGUGCUUAACACAUGCCAGUCGAACGGUGAAGCUCCAGUUUGCUGGAGUGGAUCAGUGGCGAACGGGUGAGUAACACGUGAGCAACCUGCCCCUGACUCUGGAAUAAGCGCUGGAAACGGCGUCUAAUACUGGAUACGAGAAGGGUCCGCAUGGGCACUUUCUGGAAAGUUUUUCGGUUGGGGAUGGGCUCGCGGCCUAUCAGCUUGUUGGUGAGGUAAUGGCUCACCAAGGCGACGACGGGUAGCCGGCCUGAGAGGGCGACCGGCCACACUGGGACUGAGACACGGCCCAGACUCCUACGGGAGGCAGCAGUGGGGAAUAUUGCACAAUGGGCGAAAGCCUGAUGCAGCGACGCCGCGUGAGGGAUGACGGCCUUCGGGUUGUAAACCUCUUUCAGCAGGGAAGAAGCGAAAGUGACGGUACCUGCAGAAGAAGCACCGGCUAACUACGUG
This 468-nucleotide ribosomal RNA is filed under the name uncultured bacterium. RNAcentral's name for it is "partial 16S ribosomal RNA". It matches the Rfam family "Bacterial small subunit ribosomal RNA", at positions 28 to 507 of the family's 1533-position model. The record is from RNAcentral.